RNAcentral lists this ribosomal RNA (1777 nucleotides) under Chaetoceros debilis. Its description in RNAcentral is "Eukaryotic small subunit ribosomal RNA". Lineage: Eukaryota; Bacillariophyta; Thalassiosirophyceae; Chaetocerotales; Chaetocerotaceae. The record is from RNAcentral.
CUUGAAAACCUGAUGCGGUAAUGAGUACGGCUUGCAGAAGAAUAAAUCACGCAGCCCUCUUUUUAAGAGUAUUCGACAGCGCACUGGAACUUUCAAAAUUUGAAAGCCUUUACUGCUAACACAACCCCUUCUCCAGUCAAUCUGAUUCCAGGGAUGUACAAGCAUUAAAAAGAGAAGACAACUCUUCCCAGGGCCAUCGCCUACGUCGAAGGCUUUGUUUGUGUUACCACUCAAUAUCUUCGUGCAAGUGGAGGAAUAUUAACCUCCUUCCCUUUCGGUAAGUGUGGCGAAACGCCAACUUUGAAACAGAUUUCUCUUAUUCCUUAGGACCGACUUACCCGCGAACAAAUGCUGUUCUCGCGGAACCUUUUUUCACAACAGUCUUCACGGUUCUCACGUGAAUAUUUACUACUACCACCAAGAUCUGCAGUAUAGAACGUUUCACUCUGGCUCACGCCACGAGCUGCACAACAAUCUACACGCCCUCCUACUCAGCCCAACACAGAACUUGUUGAGCUGGUUAUGUAUAAGCUCUUCUCUUUAGCGCCAUCCAUUUUCAGGGCUAGUCCAUUCGGCAGGUGGGUUGUUACACGAUCCUUAGCGGAUUCCGACUUCCAUGGCCACCGUCCUGCUGUCCUUAUGGACCAACACCUUUUGUGGGUUCUAGGUGAGAGAAGAAUUUGGCGCUUUAACAUAACGUUCGGAUCAUCCCGCAUCGCCAGACCAGCUUACCCGGUAUGGCCCACUAACAACCUUCCAUUCAACAAAACAGCUCACUAAAGUAGCUGUAUGUUCUUACCCAUUUAAAGUUUGAGAAUAGGAAGAGAGCAUUACGCUCCCUUAGCCUCUAGUCAUUAUCUUUACCUGAUAAAAUUGAGAUGAUUGCAGCUAUCCUGAGGGAAAUUUCGGAGGGAACCAGCUACUAGAUGAUUCGAUUAGUCUUUCGCCCCUAUACUCAAUUUUUACGACCGAUUUGCACGUCAGGACCGCUACGAGCCUCCACCACCGUUUCCGGUGGCUUCACCCUAAUCAAGCAUAGUUCACCAUCUUUCGGGUCCCAGCAUUUAUGCUCACACUCAGACCUUUCAACCGAAGUUUUGUGGCCGGCGGAUGAUGCAAAAAAAUAUCACCACUGUUACUUUCAUUACGCGUAUGAUGUUAAAAAUCAGACACUCGCACAGAUGCUAGACUCCUUGGUCCGUGUUUCAAGACGGGGUGUACAAAAACAUUUCGACAACAACACGAAGACUAGCCUCAAUCCAGACCAAAACGAGACAAGCUGGUAAUCCACGAAAAGACGUGUGCCUCCCAGCCAUACUUAUGCUUCGAUCCAAACCCUUGUUGACAAACUCUGCAUCACAGCGCCUCAAUGACAAGUCAGUGAGGAAAGAUGAUACAGCGAAACACUGUUUUUGUACGCUUCCCUUUCAACGAUUUCGAGUACUCUUUAACUCUCUUUUCAAAGUUCUUUGCAACUUUCAUUCACAUUACUUGUUCGCUAUCGGUUUCCCACCAAUAUUUAGUUUUAUGACAAAUUUACGUCACACUUUGAUCAGCAAUCCCAAGCUAAUCGACUCGUCGAAGGUGUAUGCCAUGGACAAGAACUUUAAACAUGAACGGUGGUCUCAACCUCUUCGCCUAUACGUUCCAGUAUAAUUAGUAAAAAGCCUCGUCCGACACAUCUUCUAUAGGCCACAACUCGGUACUAGGUACCGAUUCACAGGCUGAACUAGAUCCAGUUUCACUCGCCGUUACUAAUGGAAUCAUUGUUAUUUUC